Myxocyprinus asiaticus (Chinese sucker) is the source of this 1449-nucleotide long non-coding RNA. RefSeq lists it as uncharacterized. The transcript is spliced from 2 exons. Lineage: Eukaryota; Metazoa; Chordata; Actinopteri; Cypriniformes; Catostomidae. The record is from RefSeq and is a predicted model, not a curated record.
AGUACAUCAGAGUCUCUAGUUUGAGAAAUAGACGCAUCACAUGUCCUCCGCUGACAGCUUCAUUGAAUUCUACCCGCUCAACACCAGUUUCAUGUACAACAGUAAAGAGAAGACUCAGGGGUGCAGGCCUUAUGGGAAGAAUUGCAAAGAAAAAGCCACUUUUGAAACAGAAAAACAAAAAGAAAAGGUUAGAGUGGGCAAAGAAACACAGACAUUGGACAACAGAUAAUUGGAAAAGAGUGUUAUGGAUCUUAACCCCAUUGAGUUUUUGUGGGAUCAGCUAGACUGUAAGGUGUGUGAGAAGUGCCCGACAAGACAGCCACAUCUAUGACAAGUGCUACAGGAAGUGUGGGGUGAAAUGUCACCUGAGUAUCUGGACAAACUGACAGCUAGAAUUCCAAGGAUCUGCAAAGCUGUCAUUGCUGCACAUGGAGGAUUUUUUGAUGAGAACUCUUUGAAGUAGUUCAAGAAGUUCUGAAAAAAAAAAUUAAAAUAGUAAUAGUAAUCUUUCAUGUUAUUAAUGUCCUGACUAUACAUUGUGAUCAGUUGAAUGCCACUUUGGUGAAUAAAAGUACCAAUUUCUUUCCAUAAGAGCAAAAUCUGUAUAUUAUUCCAAUCUUUUGGCUGCCAGUGUAAAUCUCAACUUUUAUUUUUAUUUUUAUUUAGUUUUCUAAGUGGGUUUCACACUCCAAUAUCGAAUUUUACAAGUAAACUAAGGCAUCUAAAUAUUUAACCUCCUGAGACCCCCGAAUGACUGCUGUGUGCAUUGUCCAUUUCCCUUUUUUAUUUGCAACUAGUAGCACCUAAUAAACAAGCAAAAAAAAUAAAUAAUAAUAAUUCUAGAGCAAAUAGUUUUCCAAAAAAUGUAUGUCCACAUACACCACAAAAUUAAAACCCCCUCAUGCCACCAAAACAGCGCCAACCCGCAUCUCAAUAGCAUUCUGAGAUUAUAUUCUUCUCACCACAAUUGUACAGAGCGGUUAUCUGAGUUACAGUAGACUUUGUCAGUUCGAACCAGUCUGACCAUUCUCUGUUGACCUCUCUAAUCAGCUAGGCAUUUCCAUCCACAGAACUGCUUUUGGCACCAUUCGGAGUAAAUUCUAGAGACUGUUGUGUGUGAAAAUCCCAGAAGAUCAGCAGUUACAGAAAUACUCAAACCAGCCCAUCUGGCACCAACAAUCAUGCCACGGUCAAAAUCACUGAGAUCACAUUUUUCCCCAUUCUGAUGGUUGAUGUGAACAUUAACUGAAACUCCUGACCCGUAUCUGAAUGAUUUUAUGCGCUGCACUGCUGCCACGCGAUUGGCUGAUUAGAUAAUCGCAUGGAUGAUUGUUGGUGCCAGACGGCUGGUGAAAAUGAUUAGUAAAUAUAUAGGAAUGCAUUUACUAAUGUUAAUGAAUAGAACUGUAUUGUACAAUGAUAACAAAAUAAAAUUUAUAUUAAAAUGAA